Arachis ipaensis is the source of this 367-nucleotide non-coding RNA. The record is from RefSeq and is a predicted model, not a curated record. Lineage: Eukaryota; Viridiplantae; Streptophyta; Magnoliopsida; Fabales; Fabaceae.
UUAGUACGAUCGCACUGGACAUUUUGUGGAAGAGUAAGGGAUCACGAUUUGCAGUUCGAGUGCCAUCAGUUCGAGUCGCCAAAGAAGCAAGCAAAAUCAAUCCAAACCCAAAUCGCAAAGAAGACUUCCGCUCACCGUCACUCUCUCUGGGCAGAUUGAUCAAUAAAAAUGAGGUGGCAGUAAAAAAACUUCUUAAAAAAUAGAACAAGAAGAGAGAAUUCAUAAUUGAAGUGGAGGCUAUAGGUCAUGUUAGAGAUAAAUAUCUUGUGUGCCUGUUUGGAGGGAGUUAAACAGAGUAAUGGAUGCAUGUUGCCAUGGAACAAGGAACACUUACCUGGGAGGUUCGCAUGCUCGAUAGUUACCUGGC